AUUCUGCAUCACCUCUUGUUUCUAGCCUCACUUUCAUUCCAGCAGCUUCUCGGGUGUGGCUGUGGCUGUGGCUGUCUGGCUUCCCUUCUAUUGAUACCUCUGGCAGCCUUUGAGGGAUGAGAGGGCGUGGGGGUUUCCACUGCAAACAUGAGGGAGUAGGUUGAGUGCUUCGUUGUUGAGGUGAGCUUCCCUGAUGGGGUUGAACCCUGUAUAUCAGAAAGAAGCCCAACCACCCUUUUGCUAUUUCAUAGUGAAGCAUUGCAUUGAAUCUCCUGGAGCAGACAUAAAUGAAUGUUGUGGCUCUGGAGUGGUAAAAGAGAUUGCAAACAAACAGUCUUCAUAUCUCCUGGGGGUGCUUUUUACUGAGCUAACAUAGCUAAGCUGGAAAUGUGUUUUCUAGUAUUCCAUUCUCUGUGUGUUGCUGGCCACAAAGAGACUUGUGUGUCUAAGUCUUGGAAGAUGUAAGAGAAGGAGCUGCCAUUUUGUGUGCUCUGAGGUGGGUAAAGGGCACCAGAUGCUGUGGCAGCUCACACAGGUCUGUCAUCUGCUAGCCUUGCCUUGCGGGUGGGGCCAUAUCCUGAGCCUCGCACAACCUCAGCUCCCACUGGAUCUCUUCCUUCAGCUCCUCUGAGCCCUGGGCCAGAUGUGUGUACAGCUCCAUGGUGAAAGCCACCAACUUUUCCAGUAGGUCUUCUGCAUCUUUUGGGUGGGAGGUGGUGAGAAAGAGAGGUGGGCUCUAUUUCAUCCUUUUGAGGGGAAAUGGGAAAAUACCUCUUGUCCUCUACUUCCUCAAUUUCACACCCAACUCUCCUUCCUAACUCCCAGUCCAGGCGAUAUAGAACAAAUUCAGCCCAGUAUCAGAUACUACCUUUACAGAGAUUUCACAACCAGUCUCACCAUUGUGCAGAUCCUAAUCCCUGUUAUAAAUUCUAUAUAUUGGUUCUGUUUCUCCAAUUGAACCCUGACUGAAAAAGCUCUUCAUGGCUACUGUUGCCUGCGAAUUUUAUCUCUUGAAUUAGUAGAUGGUUAUACUGCUCUGCCAGGACUGUUUGACUUCCUGAACAGAAAGCGUAAAUGGUAAAGUGUGGAUUGUGAUUAAAUCAUUGAUGACCUACUACAGGUUGGUAGUUUGUUCUGUCUGAAUUGCAUCUUAAAGAAGCUCAUUGAAAUGUCUUAUAUGGUGACAUACUUCCUUUUCUCCAGUGUUAUUUAAUGUUCUCUUAUUUUUAUAGCCCUUGACCUUAGCCUUUUAUUUAAAGCUACUGAGGGGCUUAGAUUACUGUUGCCAUUUUUCUUGGGAUUAUGCUAAUCCAGGUUUUCAUUUUACUAUGUCAAUCUCCACUUACAUUUUUUUUAACUCUGCUGGUUUCCUUUAUAAAGUCACUAUCUCUUCUUCUUCUCUUAAUUUGCGUCCCUUAUUUCAGAGACAAUGAUUUCAUUUUAUUUCACUGAGUGAGAGAAGCAAAUGUCUAAAAUUUACAUUUUGCUUUCUGUAGAAAGCUCCUUUCUAAAAUCUGCGUUUUUCUUUACCUCUGGCAUGCUGCAUUCAUUUCCUUUUUUAUGCUGCAGAAUUUCUGUGUUUGCGCCCCCAUCCUGUGAGUGAGUGUUCUCUGGCUUCCCUCCCUGUUCCCAGGAAUGCUAUGGGACUUCAUCUUUCAUAUGCUUACUGGUGAAGGCUGCUGCAUGAUGACUUUGUAGGCUGAGGGAGUGGAGAAAAAGGUGAGGCUGGGAGCACUCUAAAAAGAAGAAUUUGGUGUUUGUUCUGUUGACUCCUUCUUUCUUAUACAGGAGGGCAGUUCUCUUCUUGUAUUCCUUUGUUUUUGGUGUGUUGUUUGUGUGUUUGUUUUUUGUUUAUUUUGACACAAAGUCUUGCUCUGUCGCCCAGGCUGGAGUGCAGUGGUGCGAUCUUGGCUCACUGCAACCGCCUCCUCCCGGGUUGAAGCGAUUCUCCCACCUCAGCCUCCAGAGUAGCUGGGAUUACAGGUGUGCACCAUAACACCCGGCUAAUUUUGUAUUUUUAGUAGAGCCGGAUUUUCACCAUGUUGGCCAGACUGGUCUCAAACUCCUGGCCUUAAGUGAUCUGCCCAUCUCGGCCUCCCAAAGUGCUGGGAUUACAGGCGUGAGCGACCGUGCCCGGCCACUUCUUGUAUUCCUUUGUUCAGCAUGGCCUCUUCCUCAGGUCUUCGAUGUGGCUUAGUGUCCCUCUCAAGAACUUUUCCACAACAGGGACAGGAUCUCACCACAGCAGAGAGAAUCAGAAUCAGUGAAAAACACCCAUGCCUGGAGACUUCUUGUUUAGAACGGCCACUCUUGUUUUGAUCCUUCACAUCCCCUCCAAUCUAAUUCUGAAUUUUUUUUCUUUACUGUGGCAAAAUACACAUAACAUAAACUUACAUGUUACCGUUUUUAAGUGUCCAGUUCAGUGGCAUUAAGAACAUGCACAUUGUUUGGCAAUCAUCACGAGUAUUCAUAUUCAGGACUUUAUUCAUCUUCCUCAACAGAAACCCCCCAUACCCACUAAACAACAAGCCCUCAUUUUCCCCUGCCCCACCAGCCCCUGACAACCGCCAUUCUUCUUUCUGUCUCUAGGAAGCUGAUUACUCUAGGUACCUAUGAGGGUGGAGUCAUACAGUAUUUGUUUUUGUGACUGGCUGAUUUCACUCAGCGUAAUGUCUUCGAGGUCCAUUCAUGUUGUGUGAACAUGGAAGCUAUAAAUUGAGGUGUCAGAACCACAAGAUGGAAGUACGUUGGAUUUCUGAGUCACCACCUGGAGGAGAGCUUCCCUGCAGCAUUGCUGGAAUCUGAUGUGAACUAGAUAUUCAUCUUGAUCGUGUUGACUUGAACCUAAUUCAGGCCUAAGACAUAAUAUAUACUGCAUAAUAUAUGCCGUAUAAUGAUAAUAUAUUUAUGCAGCCUUUAUUGAUAUGAGUAGUGGUUUAUCUCAGUUUUAUAAUAAAAAUCUCUCAAAGAACAUUGACUCCAAGGAAUAACAAUCACAAAAGGAUUACAGCUUUGUUUAACACUUUCUGCAAAUCCUUGAAGCUGAUCUUUCCUGUUGUUUCUAAUCCCAAUAGCCAGCCUAAACCUUUUGGUGUAAUCUCAUGUAUUCUGACCUCUGUUAUUUCCUGCUGCUUAAUGAUCUUUCUAUAAAUUGUAUGGGAAAUGAAGCAAAUGUAAUUACAGUGUCUGCCAGCCCUGAUGCAGAUAAAUAGGUGGGAGUCUGGCCAAGUGUCUCCCCAAGCUAGCCUUUGGUGUCUUUCACUCACAGCAGAAAGAAAUAGGUCAUAAAUUACAGCACUGAUUUGUUCCAAUGAUAUCAUUAGCUCCUGGAAAACAAGGAUCAUGAAAAACCCAUUUCAAAUGAACAUAUGAGUCAAUACCAACCAAGCAUCUUUUGGAAAAGAGCCCUUAUAAAUUCAUACUAGAAUUCUGACUCCUAAGUGAAUAUCUCUGGAUCUUCAGAACAUAGAAGACUUAGCUCCAGCCCAUGCAUCAGUCCCUUCAGACCAUAGAGUCAUAACCAGGCCUAUUGAAAGAGCUGGUUACAUGAGACAGUCAGAGAUUUACCUAGGUGAGAAAAUAAAGAUUAGAUGGUUUGAAGCAGAGUUCUAGCCCUUCCAAAUCAGACCUCCAACCCCUUUCUUAAUUCUAUAGUUUGUAGUUUUCAAAGGAGAAGUUGUAAUAAAGAGUAAGUAAACUAACUUCUUUUUUUCUUAUGGUUUUUGUUUGAUAAUAUGAGGAUAAAAGCAUACCCUUUUUUGACCUAUCCCAGGAUAAAAUGCAGGUGGAGAAAAGGUUUUCCGUAUUGUCUUUAGCCUUGACACAACAAAAUAGGAAAAGAUAUUUUCCGAUCUGGGUUGAGUAGAUGCAAAGAAGUGUUUUAAGGUACAUCUGUAGAGCACACUCAGCACUUGGGGACUCAGGUGCCUCAAGAGAAGCUAGAGACCUAAUGUAGGGAUAUAGAGGCCAGGAGGACACACUGGAACACAGAAGAUGACAGCUUUUGAAAGAGCUCAAGAUUCUAAUUUCUUGAACCAGAGGACAGAUUCUCCUCUAUGUCCGUUCACACUUUCAGACUUUACUCUGCAUUAGCCCUCUGUUCCCCACACCUGCUUCUGGACCCCUGGGUGGUUACACACUCUGACUUCAUCAACCCUUAUCCUUAUUGUAGGGAUAUGAAAUUUAAAAUUGGCAUCUUCCACAGCCAAUUCUGGUCACUAUUCUUGUUACUUUAACUGAUAUGCAAUAAAGAAUAUGCCUGACUUUGUCCCUGGUUCCUGGGAAGUAGCAUCAAAACCUUUAGAAUUUCUUAAGUGGUAGGAGUGUCUAUUAUUCAUGGUGAACUCCUGGGAUCAAACUUGAUAGUCUGUGCUAAAGAGAUGACUCAGGACAGGAGCUGGCUGCUCCUGCCAGAAAGACCAACCAUGUGAUUAGAGGGUGGGGCUUUGAGCCAGGUGAUAUCAGCUCAGUCUCCAGGGAGCCAAGGGGAGCUAGAGAUUGAAUUCAACUGCAAGGCCAAAGAUUCCAUCAGUCAUGAUUGUGUAAUGAUACCUCAAUAAAAACUCUGGGCAGCAAAGCUCAGUUGAGCUUCACAGGUUGUUAAUAUUCUGAUAAUGUCACACAUUGAUAUGCCAGGAAGGUAAUGCAUCCUUACUCUUUGGGGAUAGAACAACAGAAGCUUUGUGUUGAACUCCCCUAGACCUCAUUAUAUGUGUAUCUCUUUCCCUUUGGCUGGUUCUGAUGUGUAUCCUUUUGCUGUAAUAAGACUACAACUGUAAUUUAUAGGACUUUCUUGAGUUCCAUGAGUCAUUUUAGUGAAUUAUUAAUCCUGAGGGGGUUAUGGGAACCACCAAAUUUGUAGCAAGCUGGUCAGGAGUAAGAGUGGCCUGUGAGCCUUUGAACUUGUGUCUGAUGUCUUUAGUUUGUGUAGUCUUGUGGAAAACUGUGUCCCUAACCUGUAAAGUAACUGGUGUCAAAAGUCAGUGAAACUAGGCAUAAUUAGAACUCAUGGACAUUCACACCCAUUCCACUUCAGUCACAUGCUUCCGAGGCCUCACUGAGUUCCUUUUACACAUCUAUCUUCUCUACUUUGGUUCUUAUUCCGUAUGAUGGCAAAAAGAAAUACAACUGGACUCUAAGAUGAUGGUGACUCAUGAUGCCUGCUCCCUUCAUUGCUGCAGAUCUUUGGUUCUUAUUAGCUCCUUUUACACAUCUAUCUUCUCUUCUUAUGAAUAAUAUUCCACUCUCUGAUCAUACAAUGACCUAUCCCAGUUAUCAAACCAUUCCUCUCUUUGCACAUAUCCUUUAACCACAAUGAGACAUUUGAACUGUUAACUUUUUCAAAUAUCAGCUUUUGUCUUUCUCAUUAUCUUUCCUGUUCAAACUGAACUCCGUAAGUGAUCUCUUAAAUUAACCUUAUACAAGUAUUCUUGAUCUUCUGUCACUCUUGCCUUUCUGGACACUUGUCACACAAAACCAUACUUAAGAAUUAAUCCUAACAUAUUCCUGAACCCUUCUCACACCUGAUUUGCUGGACAUCUGUUUAAAAUCAUUCAAGUAUGCUAUAUUAAUUGAUAGUCUUUAUUUCAAGUGAUAGAAAAUCUACCCCAUUAUCUUAGGCUAAAAACUGUAAAACACUGAUGAAAGAAAUAAAUCUCAAAUAUAAAUGGAGAAAUAUACUAUGCUUAUGGAUUUAAGCCUCAAUGUUGUGAAAGCUGCAAUUCUUGUUCAAAUUCAGGUAUUCAACCCAAUGUCAAUCAGAAGUCUAUAUUUCUUUUGUAUAACUUGACAAGCUAAUUUCGAAAUUUGCAUGGAAAGGCAAAGCAAAAAAUAGCCAAAAUCACUUUGGAAAUGAAAAACAAAACCAGAGGACUCAUCCUAUCUGAUUUCAAGAUUUACUAUAAAGUUUAUCUAACCAAGACAAUGUGGUAUUAGACAAAUGAUAGACACAUGAUAGACUCUCUGUUCAAUGGAACCAGAGAGUCUAGAAAUAGUAUAUAGUCAAUUGAUUUUCAACAAAAGUGCAAAGACAAUUCAAUAAGUUUUUUUUCCCAGCACAUUGUGCUAGAAAAAUUGGACACUCAUAUGCAAAAGAUAAACCUUGAACUAUACCUUACACUAUAAAAAAGUAUUCAAAAUAGAUCAUAGGCCUAACAUAAAGCCUAAAAAUUUAAUAUUUCUAGAAGAAAACAGAAAAUCCUUGUGAUGUGGGGUUAGGCAAAGAUUUCUUAAAUACAAACCCAAAAGCAUGAUCCAUAAAAUUAAAAAUUUGAUAAAUUAGACUUCAUUUAAAGUGAUAAUGUCUGCUCAUUGAAGGACAUCAUUAAGAGAAUAAAAAGACAAGGCAGAGUCUAGGAGAAAUAUUCGCGAAACGCAUACCUAAGAAAGAACUUGUAUCCAGAAUACACAGAAAACUCUUAAGACUCAAUGAUAAGAAAACAAUCCACCCAAUUAAACAUGGGCCAAAACUGUGAAUAGUUACUUCACCAAAGAAGGUCUAUGAAUGGCAAAUAAGUACAUGAAAAGAAGUUCAAUAUUAUUAGUCACUAAAAUCAAACAACAAUGAGAUGACACUAUACAUUUAUUAGAACAAAGGAAAAAAAACAAUUGCAAAUGCUGGAGAAGAUGCCGAACCACUGGAACUUUCAUACAAUACUGGUAGGAAUGCAAAUAGUACAGCCGUGGUAGCAUUUGAACAAGACAAAGAGACAGAGAUAAAGAAAAAUAGAGACAGAAUGUGUUGAAGAUGGAAAGGAAAGGAAAAAGGCAGAACAGAUAGACUAUUAUUAUUCUUCCUUUCUCUACCUUCCUGUCUGCACCAAUUCCUAGAUCUCACAGAAAGAUGUAACCUGGAGAAAAUGAACAGGCAUAUGAUACAUCCAGACAAUCAUAUACAGCACAUGUGAACUUCACAACAACCUUAUAUAGUUGGGCAGGAUAGUUCUUGUCCUGUUACAGAUAUGAAAUUCACCGAUAUAUGCAACAUAUUUAGUAGACAUCUACAGGGUUCUCCAUGCGCCCCAUAAAUUCUACCUGUUCCAUAAUUAUUUCCUUGGAGGAAAGUCUUUCCUUCAAAGACUCACAAUUCUGUAGGAGGUCAGGGACCAUCCUGUGUUUCUGGCAGAGCUGAAAUGUAUCCUGGACCACAGAAUGGAGGAUGUCCGCAUGGUCUGGGUUGGAUGGAGGCUUGAGUGAAUUAUCACAGCACAGAAAAAUGUUAUUUUCUCUGGACAAUUUAAAAACAGUGGUGACCACUUUCUACUUUUGGUUUCCCCAUGAUGGCAAAAAGAAAUACAAUUGGACUCUAAGAUGAUGGUGACUCAUGAUGCCUGCUCCCUUCAUUGCUGCAGAUCUUUGGUUCUUAUUGUCUAUUAUCUACCUUGUCCCUUCCUUCUAUAAUCUCCCCAGCUCCUGAUAUCUAAAGGCAGGACAUCUCAACUCUCUAUCUUAAACUUAAACCAGUUGCCCAUCUUCCUGCCAUUCAGCUUUUCAAUGUAACCGUCAAGUACCUGCAGCCUUUCUUUUCUGGUUCUGCAUUGGAUGAUUGAUGUUUCAUUGACCUUGUGGAGGAAAGAGGGUACAGGUAAGCAGUAAAGACUCCAGGAUACCAGUGAUGACAUUAUAUGAUGCUAAAGAGUGUGUGUAUGUGCGCGCGCGUGUGUGUGUGUAAUGUGCACAGCCCUUUUUUACUUUUGAGACUCCGAGACCCAGUGAUAAGUGAAUUGAGCAAGGCUGCACUAAGAAGACAACUGCUGCCAUCUUGGGCUUGAAGAGAUUCAUCUUAGAAUACUGAAGGGAGAAUUUUCCCCUCCACCUUUACAAUCCCUGAUUUGGAAAGAUCUUCUCCUGUGAUAAUUAACUGGUCCCAGGCGUUGCCCUACUCAGCAGCAAUGGAUGGAUAGGAGGGAAACCUGGAGAUAAUAAUGGCAGCUUUCAGGGAAUCCCAUCCUGUGAAGACGUUACCUUCAAGACCAGAAAGAAAAGUUAUGCUCUCGUCAUUUUCCUGCAUGUUGGCCCUACUACUCAGCCCUUUACCCCUACCCCAUCCUUCCCAACAAUGAGGAGGUGUUGAGUAACCUUGUUACCUUGUUAAAGAGACUGAAUGAUGCUGCCACCUUUGUCCUAUAAGGAACUACUUGGUUUGAAUUUCUCCAAGUCUAUGCCAAACUCCUGAAUGAGUUUGGCCCGCCUUUGGUUUAUACUGUUUAGCCAGCCCUGCUCUAACUAGGCUCCUGUCCGCCUGAGAAAUAUGUCCCUUUCCAGACACCUGUUUGUCCUCUCCAUAGCCCUGGCAUGACCUGGGCAAUGUGACACCCAGAACAUGCCUGGAUCUGUACCUUAUCACUAACCAAAUCCAUGUAGGAAUACUAACUAUUUGAAUUCCUUAGCUCAGUAUCUGAGUCUGAAUAUGCAUAGAUUAAUAUUUCCCAAAUAAUCUGAUUCCAUUAGCGAUAAUUUGAGAAAUAUCUUGGGACAGUUGGAAAGACUUCAGACCUUUUCCUUAGUCAAACUGCAAUGCUUUCAAAAGUUUUCUAGCACAGUUUGGCCUGCAAACAAAUUUAGUUCAUUUCAGUAGGAGGUAACAAAGCUUUCUGUACCUGCCUUCUUCUGGUGUAGUUCUUGUUUGCACUUUAUUUCUCUGCAAUGUCAUGGGGGGAAGCCAGGUAAUAAAUAGAGACAGAUAGUAAACAGACUCCUAAGUAUUUAAUGGGGUUGGUCGGAUUUACGGCUCCAGUGUCGUAACACAGAAUUACCCAAUUCCUUCAGCUGCUUAGUAAGUUUCACAUUAUCACACAAAUCAAGGGUGACUCUCUUAAAGUUGUGGUGAUCAUCUGAAUGCUUUUCUUCAUUAGAUGUCAAAGUAGGAGAAAGACAACUAUUUUGGAAGGUUCUCAGACGUGAAACACUGGAAGAUAUCUGUGAAUCUACCUCCCACUCUCUAUCACCAUGCCCAGGAAUGUAUUUCCUUUGUUAUAUUGACACUGGCAACUCCCAGAUCUGAUUGCCUUGAUGUAGCCUGGAGCUACGAGAGGUCCUUAGAAUCUGUUCUUGCCAGUGGCCCCUUUGCAGAAUUAAUAAAAAAUCUUAUGCACAGUAAUAGCAAAGCUUUGCUCCCUCUACUUGACUUUUGGGAAAGCUUGGCUCAUUGGUAAACAUGUAAUGUUCUUUAUAUUAAAACAGAGUUCUGAUACUCUCAGAGUUGGGGCAAAUUGUUAGCCUUUCACCAAAACUUGAAAGGCUUUCUACGUUAAGAUCCAAGCUCCUGCCUUAUAAAUAUUCUGAAUUACAGUCAAUUUUGGAAUACUCUUGUGGCAGAGAAAGUAACAUGCACCAAAUAGUCCAGGCUUGUGUUGAGUUAGAGCCAUGCGACAAGUUCUGGCCAAUAAUAUAUGUGUGCGAGUGAUACAUGCCCCUUCUGACAGAAGCAGUGAAAAAUUUAUGAACAAUAUUUUAGUUUUCUUUCCUCUACUAUGGCAACUUAAGUUGUGUGAGCCAGAUAAUGGAGUUUCAGGAUGAUGGUUCCUACUCAGCCUGGGUCCCUGAGUGACUGUAUGGAAUAAAGCUCUGCCGACACUUGUUAGACAUGACCAUGUGUAACAAAUAAGCCUUUGUUAAGCCACUGACCAUUUGGAGUAAUCUGUUACAACUGCAGAACAGAGCAUAUCCUGAUUAACAGAAUUCCUACUUCCCAAAUUUCUGCUUCCUUUCCUGGCUGCAUAAUUUGUCCAAGCUGUCUGUCAUCUACAUACUCCUUUACCCUAUUUAUGGCUUAUACUAUCUCAUCUGACCUUCAUGGUCUAUCCUAAACGUCAUCUCCUUCCCAAGGAUCUCCGGUUUCCAGUUGGAUGGGAUACCCUCCUCUUCUCUGCUAAUAGAAAGAGUAGUAUACCUCUCUUAAGGCAAUCAUCUCAUUUGCUUCUCUUCCUCAUCCAUUUAACUUAGAGCUCCUGGAAGGUGAAGACCAUGUUUGAUUCACCCAAACACCCCAAGGCCCCAGCUGAACAUUUUGUGGUAGCUACAGGUGGAUAUUAUUUAGUUUGAAUUGAGUUUUCUCCUGAGGUUAGCAAUGCGUAGGCCAAUGUAGACAGCAAUGUGAAAUGAUUUUAAAUAAGUUAUCUGCCUGAAACAUAGCAACAGGGAGAGAAGAAAACAAAAAAAAAAACCCUUUACAUGAGUAAGUGUAAUUCUCAGAAAAUAAGAGAAAUAGCAUAUCAGAAAAAGACAUAGGAAGCAAAAGUGAUGCUUGCUGAAGAACAUCAGAAUGGGAAUUAGGAAACAAACUUCUAGAUUUGACUCCUUUGAAAACUAAUUCUGUGAUCUCUCUGGAACUCAGGUUCUUCAUCUUGUACGUGGGAUCAGAGGCUGGACGAUAAAUUAAUUAAGGUAUUUCAUUCUGGAAUUUUACUUACAGAAACCCCAGGUGCUGAGAUGUUUUCCAGGACUAGGAUGAAGUCUCCAUCUUGUGGCUAAAUUAAGUUCUGCAGUCACUCAACAUUAUGAACGUCAAGAUCCAAGUCAAUUUAGUGGAGCAGCGUAGAUUAGGUCAAUAGCUUCUGUGAGAAACAGAAACACAUCUUCUUAAUGCAAAUGCAGCAGGACAGGUUCAUUCGCAGCCAUUUGGAAAGGAAUUUAAACUUGGACAACGAACUGUGCAAAUAUAUUUAUUCAUUCUUUUACUAAAGAGAGGGCCUGUCUUAUCUUUUCCAGACUUGCAUUCCUUGGCUUGUGGCCCCUUCCUCCUUCUUCAAAGCCAGCAAUGUAGCAUCUUGCUUCAGCCCUCACAUUGCCUCAUUCUUAUCUGUCAAAUCUCUCUCUGCCUCACUCUUAUAAGGACACCUAGGUGAUCCAGAAUACUCCCAUCUCAAGAAUUUUUAAUUUAAUCACUUUUACCAUAUAACAUCCGCAGUUUCCAGAGAUUAGGAUCUGGAUAUCUUUGGAGACCAUUAUUAGUCUACCACUGGGAGAAAGUGAAGGGGGCUGGGGAAAGUGUUUCCAGGAACACAGUAGUCUGUCCAGCGCCCCUUCCACCACUAUCAUUGGUGAGAUCGUUGGUAGCAGCUGUGAGGUGUGAUAGAGACUGACUUUUCUCCAGUUCCAGGGGCUCCAACUGGCAAAAGCUCAUAACUGUUAUCAUCCCCCUGACUUCAGUGAUCUGCUCAGGAAAGGGCACUUGAACAAAUUCAGACCAGCUCAGGAGCCUCUACCCUCCACCCCCGUAGUUGUGGAAAAAGUUUUCAUAUCAGCUAUUCUGGAGGUAGCAAAAAGAAGGCCAAAAGAUUACAGCCCUUUUUGUUUGUUUGUUUGCUUGUAAGCCUUGUGGUUCUAUUUGACUUUUUAAAUUAUGCGCAUGAAUUACUUGGAGACAUUUUUUAAAUUGAAGUGGAAAAAAUAAUUUAAAAGGGAAAACUAACUAAAGUAAUAUAAUUUCAGAGUAUUGAUUAUUGUCCAGAAUAUGCUUUGUUUUAUUAUUUUGCUAAUAAAAUUAAAUUCACUGUACAUUGUUCCAGAAGUAUGUUGACUCUAAGGAAAAUGUUUUAAAUGGAAUAGCCUGAGGAUAUCAUUGUGGGGAAGUAUUGGAUGUCCUUGAUCUUUUCUGUUCAUUGUAGAUGUUUUCUAGAAGACAGCACAUCUUAAAGAUAUUUCAGGCUUCUUAUGAAGGAAACAGUAAACCUUUUACAAACUAUAUUUUCCAAUUUUCUUGUCUUUUCUUGAAGUACCACUGUACAACUCUUGUUGGAGAGCUACUGUAAUUAUUUGUGACAUGUUUUUCUUUGGCCAAUUCUCUAUGGCUUCUACUCAGUACAGCCACCUCAUAAGAACAUGAGAUCACCCUCUCUGCACGUGGCUUUUGGAAGCUGCCAUAACUUCAUGGGUUCAAAGCUGGGUUCUCUUGGGACCUGCUUCCAUGCAAUGGCAGUCAGUUCAUCAUCUGCUGUGGUUCAUUCCCUCAGCUUUUGACUCGGUCCUGGGUGUGCCUGAAAGAGAACCCUCUUCCCUCAUUGCUGUCCUGAAAAACAAAACCCUCUUCUAGUUCUCACUAGAAGAGUGACAUAUUGUUUUGGGGGAGGAAAGUAGUGUCUCCAUGUGUCACCUCGUUUCUCUCCAGGCACACAGUGCUCCAAGGUAAGGGAUGCUUACAAGCUAUAUGACAAUGAAUGCACAAAUUAUUCAAAGUGAAAGGGUUUUAAAGAUCAGUGAGUUCAAUGUCUCCUCAAAUGCGAAAAUGCCUGUCAGAAACUCCCUGACACAUCAUCAUCUUGCAUCAGAUACAGUAUUUCCAGUUAUAGGAAAGUCAUGACUGAAAUGCAUGGAAUCAGAUUUUUCAGAUUGAGAGGUCUAAAGUAGUAUUUCUCAAUGUGAUGUCAGUGGAACACUUGCAGCAGGGUCACCUGGGAUGUUCAUUUAGGAUUCAGAUCCUUGGGCCCUGUCACCUACUGAACCAUGCUGUCCAGGGAUAAAAUCCAAGCAUAUGCCUAGAAGAAAGACUUAUUAACUACACUGAAGAUUGAGAUUAAUUGUACUAGACUAACUCUCCUAUACAAUUCUCAAAAAACCUUGACAUCUAUUUGUUGAAUGUUAUGGCUUCUCCCUAGAAAAAGCCAGAUGUGUGCCUAAGUUGCCUGCUCCCCCACCCCCUGACAUUAUCAUAUAUUUAAUUAGAAAAGUCAAUGCCAUUGACUUUUUAAAGCCAAGGGCCUCCUAGAAUUAUGUUUUGCAAAAUGUGCUAUACACAUUGCUUAUGGUAUAUCAAGUAGUCCACAUAUGGUUAGGCAGUUUUGGAGAUAAAAAUGAUGAAACAAUCCUAUUUACACAUGUUUUAUAAAUUUGAAAUGUAAUAUUAAUUAUACUUUUUAAAUUCCACUGCAUUUUAAUGAUUAUAUCAUAAAAGUUGUAAAUGUGCUCCAAGAACUGCGUUGGUAAAUUUGUUUCAGCUGUCAUUCAGCUAACAGAGUCUUGUGAAAAUUUUCCAAUGUCACUUGUAUUCUAUUAGUUGUGAUUCUUGUUCUUAAAUUGCUGCGUGGAAACUAAUCUAUGGUGACAAUAAUCAGGGCUUGGGAAGGCUUGAUUGUAAACAGGCUCAUGACCCUGGGAACUUUUGGGGAUGCAGCAAUUAUUUUCUUAUAUUGAUUAUGUUGGUAGUUCCAUGGAUGUAGCUUGCCAAAACUCAUUAAACGAUACACUUCGAAUGAAUGCAUUUUAUCAUAUGUAAGUGAGACCUUGGUAAAGUUGAUUUUAAAAUGUGAAGUGUUGGCUGGGCGCAGUGGCUCAUGCCUGUAAUCCCAGCACUUUGGGAGACGGGGGGUGGGGGCGGGGGUGGAUCACGAGGUCAAGAGAUCGAGACCAUCCUGGACAACAUGGUGAAACCUCGUCUCUACUAAAAAAAAAAAAAAAAAAAAAAAAAAAAAAAAAAAAUUAGCUGGGCAUGGUGGGUGGCCCAGUCCUAGCUACUGGGGAGGCUGAGGCAGGAGAAUCACUUGAACCAGGGAGGCAGAGGUUGCAGUGAGCCAAGAUCGCACCACUGCACUCUAGCCUGGGCAACAGAGAGAAACUCCGUCUCAAAACAAAACAAAACAAAACAAAACAAAAACAAUAAGACGUGAAGUGUUAUAAUACCAAUUUACAAGAAAGCAUAUCAAAAAUGACUCAUUGAAGCAGGUGGUUAGUGAUUAAAAAUUUAAUGAAUAUACUACAAAUCAGAAAAAUACACUAGAUGUAAAUAAUAAAUAGAGCACCUGUGAAGACAGAGGUUGAUCUGUAUAUGCUGAGAGAAAUGAAGAUACAAGAGAAAUGAUGUCACCAGCUGAAAUGCUGUCACAUUGUUGUCUUCAUUCUUUUAGAAGAACUAAAGAAAUAAAAGAAUGAGCAUCUGAAAAUUAGAUUGUAUUGAUAAACAUUGAUCCAUUCACCCACCAGUCCCAUUGUGUUCUGUUACAAAGUUUUUCAAAAUGGCAUUGUGAAAUCUUUCAAGGGUUUGUGAAAAAUAAGGUAUAGCAUCUCUUUGGUGAGCCAAAUGAGUUUUUCUAAAAUAAGCUUGGUAAUUUUCACCCUAAAGUUGAUGUAUUUUAGUGUAAAAAAUGAAGAGGUAGUGAAGUGUAAUGGAGGGUGGGAGCCAGGCUCCUCACUGUUGGAGUGGGAAGUUACAGACGAGCAAAGGGAGGAGGCUAGAAUAAUCCAUGGGUAAUUGAUUAGAGUGGGAGACAUCUGUAUAAACUCAUAUUUAGCUUAAUAUAUAAAUAGUACAUGAAUAUUUAUAGAUGUAUCUGUACAUGGGUUAUAUAGAUACGUGUAUACAUGUAUUUCUCUAUUUUGUCAGCUGAGAGGAACUAGAGGUAAUAAAUGACACCCAAGUAGUAGCAAGUAAAGUUAGAACUCAGAUCCUGGUUUCUAAUACCAUUCUCUGAUAGAAGGAAUGAGGGCUCCUUGGAGCAAUGGAUGAUUCUAAGGAUGGAGGAGAAACAUCUUGCAAUGCUAGUAAUAAGGAAAUGCACAGAAAAACUGACACUGAUGGGCCUAUGCCAAGGAUACAGGAACUGACAGAAAGCUCCCAAUGGCCAAAGGCAGAACAAGCUGUGCAACAAAAUAAACAAAGUGGUACUGAAUUAUAACCCAAUAUAUAAAAUAAAUAUUGAUGGGUCUACACUGAUAUAAACAAAAUGACUGCAUAAAUAAAUAAAUGGAGAAGAAUAGCCAAAUCUCCAGUGCAGAAGAAUUUCAAAUAAUUUAUGCAGAUACUGUGAGGGUUAAUUUUGUGUGCUAACUUGGAGGAUGUUUUCAGAUGUGAUUAGCAUUUAAAUGGGUGCACUUUGAGUAAAGCAGAUUGUCCUCCAUUAUAUGGGUGGGUCUCAUCCAAUUAGUCGAACCAUGAAUCAAACCAAAAGACUGCCCUCCCCAAGCAGGAAGGAAUUCUUCAGUGGACUGCCUUUGGACUUCAUCUAUAUUCUUGGCUUACCUGAGUCUUGAGCCUGACAACCCACACUGCAGAUUUUUGACUUCCUGGCCUCCAGAAUUGCAUGAGCCAAUUCCUUAUAAUAAAUCCUUCUCUCCACAUAUACACACACAUACAUCCUAUUGGUUCCGAUUCUCUAUAGAACCCUGACUAAUACAGAUAAUUUGCAUUCAAGAAAAGUGAGCAUGAUUCGCAUUCCUUACGUGUGGGCUGCAUAUACUGACUUCCUUCCAAAGAGUACAGUGUGGAAAAUAGAGGGAGAAGAGUAACUUUACAGUGGAGAAGACUGGCAAACUACCUCAGCCAGGUGACCAAGGUCAACAUCAACAAUGACCAGUCAUGUUGAUGGUAUGUAUCCUUGAUAUCAUGAAAAUGGCACUGUACCUGUGAUCCUCCUCUCCUACCCCAUAAUCCCAGUCUAAUGAGAAAAACAUUAGACAAAUACAAAUUGAUGAAUAUUCUACAAAAAUACCUGACCAACACUCCUCAAAAGUGUCAAGGUAAUCAAAACCGAGGAAACUCAGAGACUUUCAAGGCCAAGAGGAGUCGAAGGAAACAGGACAAUUAAAUGUAGUAUGGUAUCCUGAAUAAGAUCUUGGGAGAGAAAAAGGACAUUAGGUAUAAACUAAAGCAAUCUAAAUGAAGUAUGGACUUUGGUUAAUGACAAUGUAUCUAUAUUGGUUCAUUAAUUGUGACAAAUAUACCAUAUUAAUAUAAGAUGUUACUAACAGAGGAAACUGUGUGGGGUACACAGGAUCUCUCUGUACUAGUUCCUUAAUUUUUCUGUAAAUGUAAAUCUACUCCAAAAUAAAAAGUUUGUUUAAAAAAAAAGAAAAAGGAGGAGGAGGAGGAUGAAAAGAUGGAAAAAAUAAACUAGGGAGGCACCUUUUAGAGUUCUACUUCUCACAGCAAAAAGAACUACAAGUUAUUCCACUACCAAGAAGCUUGCAGGGUUAGCCACAAAACCAAUGAUAAGUAUUGUACCUGGGAAAAUAAUCAAUUAAUCUUUGCAAUUCUAGUCAGAUCAUACUGUUGGACACCACAUCAUAGCAAUGGCACAUGAUAGAUUACAACAAAUGCUAUUGUUUAAAAAUUAUCCAAAAUGUAGAAAUAAAGCAAAAGAAGAUUGCUCGUGCUUUCAAUAUCAUAUACCAGACCAGCAUCUAUCAGGCCCAUCAAGCAUUAUUUCAUUUUUUAAAAGAUGGACUCUUGUUGAUUAACUACUUUCUGUUAAUUAAAGCCAAGACUCUGAAGUCACGUGUUAACUUGUAGAUUUUUGUCUAAUGGAGAUGCAAAACAUUAACUAGUUAUAUCUCUGACUUAGCAAAUUUAUUUUGGUAUUCCUUUCCUAAUAGACUGUGUAAUCUUUUUUUUCUCUAAUUUUUCUUUCAAUCAUUCUGUGCACGUUGCUGGUUUCCUCAUCAAUAAAUCAACAGCUCAUUGACACACAUUUGCUUUAUAUUUGUAUGAGUGUAAUGUUUUUAACUUUUUUUUAAAAAAUAUGCUUUUAUCGUGCAUGUUCAAGGAGCUAUUUUGUGUUGCAAUUAGAUGACAUAGAUCAC
This 16509-nucleotide long non-coding RNA is filed under the name Homo sapiens (human). RNAcentral's name for it is "long non-coding RNA NONHSAT171087.1". The record is from RNAcentral. Lineage: Eukaryota; Metazoa; Chordata; Mammalia; Primates; Hominidae.